GGUAGUGGAGCCAUUGCCCCAGAGCCAGAUGCUUGCCUCUCCUGCCCAAAGGGCAGGUGCCAGGUAGAGGUUCUAAGAGCACCUUGGGGAAAGGGCUGGAGGGAAAAAGGCCCCAGGACACAGGGUUGAAGGAGAGACAGUGGAUGAAGAAGAGGCCUGUGGUGGCUGGGCAUGGCCUGCACUGAUCACACUCCUGCCCCAGGAGAGAGUGAGGCAUCAGGGACAGCUAAGAAAAUGAGGAGCAGCAACCUCUGGAUGCCAGGCCCUGCACUCUCCCUGCUCCUGCUGCUGCCACUUCCAUUGCUGAGCACAGGGAGCUUCCUGUACCGCAUCCCAGCCUGGAGACCCUUCUACCAGGGCACCAAGCACUACAGGAGCAAGACAGAAAAGCUGAAAACCUGCAAAGUGAGACCAUCUGAUGUACUGAUGAAGGUUGUGGACACAUAUUUAAGACCUUUGAGAGAAUACAGCACACCAUGGAGACUACCAUGCUGACUAUCAGGAGGACAAUAGCAAGAGACUGAAGAAUAUUCCUUAACCAGGGUACACAUGAACCAAACCAGUUGAUAUCAUAUAAAUCAAAGAAUAUACCAGAAGAGACAUCAA
This is a long non-coding RNA of Hyaena hyaena (striped hyena), 606 nucleotides long. RefSeq lists it as uncharacterized. The transcript is spliced from 2 exons. The record is from RefSeq and is a predicted model, not a curated record. Lineage: Eukaryota; Metazoa; Chordata; Mammalia; Carnivora; Hyaenidae.